Neofelis nebulosa (Clouded leopard) is the source of this 11997-nucleotide long non-coding RNA. RefSeq lists it as uncharacterized. The record is from RefSeq and is a predicted model, not a curated record. Lineage: Eukaryota; Metazoa; Chordata; Mammalia; Carnivora; Felidae. The transcript is spliced from 2 exons.
UCAACCAGGGGCACCUGGGUGGCUCAGUUGGUUAAGCGUUCGACUCUUGGUUUCCACGCAGGUCACGAUCUCACGGUUUGUGGGUUUGAGCCCCACGUGGGGCUCUGCGUUGACAGCACAGAGUCUGCUUGAGAUUCUCUCUCUCCCUCUCUCUCUCCCCCUUCCCCGCCCAUGUGCAGGCACACUCACACUCUCUCUCUCAAAGGAAAUGAACAUUUUUUAAAAAAUAAUAAAUAAAUUAGCAUCAACCAUAUUCAUAAUGAUUAGACUCAUGUUUUAUGUCUCCCUGAGGCUUUUCAAACAUCAUGGGGGGAAAUCAUUUAGCAGAAUUUACUUAUAGCUAAGGGCCACUUUAACCCAUUGAUCGCCAUGAUGCUAUCUGAGGCUGUGGCUCUGAUUCUGUGCAUCUUCCUGCCCCUGAAGGCAUAAAGCAAAUGGACCAAGUUGCUGCUUCUCCAUACCUAGGACAGGAACAGAAAACUUUGUAUGCCCUGCUGUAACUGGAGGUGUGGGACUGGAGUGUUUAUUGGUCAAGUGAAUGAAAAGAGGCAGAUUGGAAUAUGGCCAAGGCCAAUACCCAGUCUCCUGAGGAAAAUUAGAGCCUUUGUUUUUUUUUAUUUUUUUUUUUUUGCUUUGUUUUGUUUUGGUUUGUUUGUUUGUUUGUUUGUUGUAAUUAUUUUUUUUCUGUCUUGCCUUCAAAGCAGAUUGUGUAAGAUUCGGUCUCCUCAGGAGAUAACUCAUGAAAUAUACCCCUUGGGUCCUUUGCAUCUCAUCCCUGCAUAGAUAGCAUAGGGAAGAGCAUCCCCUACCCAUUAGAGCCAUGGGCAUUUCCUGACAAAUACUGUAGCCCUCUGGAAUAUAUCAUUGAGCUCCUGGUUUACUGCAUUCUUCUGAAAGCCCUUUUUAUUGAAUUGGCUCAUUCUGAACCACUCAUACAUAGUGAACAUUCGUAUGGUACAUUUGGGGACACUAAGGACACAACAGUUUACAAAAACGUAGCUGGGAAGUUUUUAACUCCUAAUUUUGGCACAGAAGCAUUCCCUUUGAAGCUCCUAAUAAUCUUUCUUCCUACCACUGUUCCACUCAUUGUUUCCCAACUUCUUUUCUGGGAAAACUUGGGGUAAAUUUUUACUAUUUUAUGCUUGAUUUCUUUUCCUUCCCUCUUCUCACUUUUCAUUUCCAGAAGAAAUGGCUUGGCUUCCCUCCUUCUUCUCCAUCCUGCCUUGAAUACUCAGGAAUGCGUAACACUUUAGCAUAGGACAAUACAAUUUAGAUUGGGAAACUUUUUAUUUGUAAACCUCAGUGGGUUUUGUUGACACAGUUGUGCCCAAUUCCUGAAUGAACUUAAUCCCGUACUCUUAGUGAAGUUGAGAAAGCAAAGCUAAUAUGUGGUGAGUACCUACUUGGCCACAGAUGUUGGGCUAGGCUCCUUCUUAUACAAUUUCUCACGUAAUCUUUAUGAUAAUCCUGCUAAAUGUGGAUUACUGUUCCACUUGGAAUCUGAAGCCCAGGGAUAUUAAACACCUUGCCUGAGGAUAGGUGGCAAAGCUGAGCUUUGAACUCUGAUUUCUCUGACUUCAAAGCCAAUGCUCUUUCCACCUCAUGGAAAACCUUCAGAGCUUAGGACAUAUUUAUUGUUUCAAAAUGUAUAAUCCCAGAGCACACAUGCUUCCUUAGCCAUUAGAGGUGAGUGAAUGAAAUAGUAGUGUUGUGUUGUGUAAAGUCAUUGACAAAAUGACCUUUUGGUGCCAUUCUGAUCCUGCACUGCUUAGAGUAAUUAUGACUGUAAAGCCAUUGGAGCAGUCCAGAAGUAUUUCUAAGCAGUUUCUACAUGCCUAAGCAUUAAAUUUAGUUAUUUGUUGAACAUAAAAGCAGAGGAAUAGUCUUUCCAGGUGACAGAUAAAAUGAUGGAAGAAUUGAAAUAGUGAAAUAACUUCAAUGUUUGGAUUUAUGGUGCUGGUCAGAUUCAUUUAUAGAGACAAGGGGGUGUGUCAAGUCAGUGUUGGCUGGGGUACUCUCAGAAGGCACCACACAGAGAGUGGGGUGGGUUAUGGUUAGCUCUGAACAGAUUUCCUGGUCUCCACUUCUCUCAUGUGGCUUCCUUCCCUGCUCAAAAAGCCAACCAAAAAAAUAAGGUGAAAGAAGGGAAGAAUGGAGACAGAAAAAAGAGAGACUGUGAAUAACUCAAGCAAAUUGGAGAAAUAGCUUCAAGUCUGUAUUUCCUGGAUCAUGUAUGUAUGUUUGUGUAUGAGGGACAAUGCAUCAAAGUAGUGUUAAGAUGUGUAAGCUUAGAAGUCAGUCUACCAUAAUUCUGGUUCUUCUUCCACCAUCUAGUUUUUAUAUAGCCUUAAGCAAAUCACAUAACUCUCGGGCUCCUAGUGUCCUCCUGGAAUUGUAGGAAUUAGGAUGUGUGAUCAUAAAGUUUUAUUUCAACUCCAGGAUUUAAUGAUUUUAAAAGUUUUAGUGUGCUUUGAUUAUCACUCAUUGCAUUACAUGGACAUAUAUUAACUACUUUAAUAUGCAUCAAAGGAGGUAUGCUCUUUCUCUUCAAAAAUGCUAAAGGCUGACCUUGUUAUAGAAAACACUCUGGAAUCAUGCAUUCAGAAUACUUAAUUUUGAGUUUUCCUUCUUGUAUUUUAAUGUCUCUGCUCUCAUGGUCCUCCUCCUUCAUUGGAAGCCAGUUUUAAGUUUCGAUGAUUAACCACCCCCUUUUUUUGAACCCCCCCUUUUUUUUUAUUAAAUAGAAAGAGUACCAGAUGGAAGAGGUUACUCUCUAAUUCAGAAUUUAUCUUGACAGAGACUAGAUAAAAAGAUAAUACUAGAUAAAGAGAGGAAUUAGAAAAGGGAAUGUGUUGGAGAAAAAAAUAGGUAGUCACCACCAUAUUCCGGUGGAAUGCAAUCCUUGAAUAUUUAUCUAGUCCUGGAAUUUUCUAGAUAAAAUGCCAUCUUCAGUGUUUUGAGAGGAUACACUAAAUUAUUGGAAUAGCUACACUUUAUCCCAAGGGCAGGUUGUACCAACUCUCAUUUAAGUGUUUUCAUUUGCCUACCCUGUGUAUCCCCGCUUCUUAGGUGAUUUAAGGUAGAUAGAAGAUAGGCUAUUAGCACUGAAGUUGAUUACAAGGCUGAACUUCAAGACAGGAGUAAUGUAUCUCAACCCCCAAACCCCCACCACAUUUUCUAACUUUAUCCAGGGUUUAUACUGUAGAGGAUUUAAAACAACAACAGGAGUAUUUUCUCCAUUUUCUACCUUAUGCCUUUGAACUUGACAAAGGAAGAAAAUAUGCAUUCUGUUUCAAACAGUUAUGACAGUGUACAUGAACACCUGAAGUUCCUUCUCACUCAGCAGUUGAAAGCCCCCCUCUUACCUUUAAGACCAGUGUGACCUCACAGAGGCUUCCACAGAAGGCAGAAGGUUCCAUGAAGGGAAACAGACUCGAAGGUGGCUCUCAAUCAUCCCCACCUCCUGAUACCCGUGCCCUUGUAUGUGGCACUCCCCUUGAAUGUGGGCAAGACCUACGAUUUACUUCUGACCAACAGACUAAAGCAAAGGUGAUGGCAUGCAGAUAAUUAUUACACGUAUCAGAUAAUGUUAGAUAAAUUGUAGGAUUGUAACACCCAUCCUACAAGGAUACCUUUCCCUUUGGUGGCUUUCAAGAACUAAGCUCUCAUGUUGUGACCUACCACAUGGAGAGGGCCAUGUGGCAAGGAACUCAGGGUAGCCUGUAGCUAGUAAGAAACUAAAGCCUUCAGUCCAGCAGCCUAUAGGAGCUAAAGGCUGCCAGCAUCUAUGUAAACUUGAAAGCAAACCCUGCCCCAGUGGAACCUAAAGAGAAACCGUACUAAGCAUUUGAAUCCUCUAGAUGACUCAAGGUCAUCCUCAUGACCAUCUAUUAUUGUGCUCUGCUGAAAUUCAGUAAUUUUCCUCUCCUGUCCCCUCAGGCUGUCAGCUGCCAUCUCUGCUGUCACUGGGCUACCUCUCAUAGGCUUCCCCACCACCUUCUGAUGUUUAUUGGUUCUAAUCUCCCGUGUGGGGAAGGAACAGCAAAACGGUCAUUAGAAUCGCUGGUGAAUAUGAGUCAAUAAGCACUGAAUGCUUAUUGCUCCCAAAGGAGCAUCCAUCAGAGGAAAGAAUUGUUUCAUUCUGGCACUUUUUAAAAUCAGUGUUUUACCCACACAGAGCCCAAGACUCUUCCUCCUUCUCCUUCUCCUUCAUCAUCGUUUCCUUCUCCAACUCUCAGGGAAAUCGGAAACGUGGGCGGUGCCUAUAUGCUCUCUGACCCUCUCCUUGGAUUUUGUUCUUAAAUCGUAACAAUUAGAGGAGUUGCUAAAUUGGAUCAUUUCAGAUUGUCUCAGUUCUCUGCGGCUUUAAGAACAAGCUGAUUUGAAGCCACAUACUGUUGGCAGCUUUCAUCCAUUUAUUUGGACUAUCAAGCAAGAAUGCUCACAAUCUUUCAAAUGAAAGAAGACAUCUUUAUUUCCAGUUCACACCCUUCAUAAUAAGAAGGGUAUUUGAAAUAAAGCCAAAAAGCAUAACUUACUUCUCUAACUUCAUAUUACAGAUGCCCACAGUAAUGGAAGAAAAAAAAAUUUUUUUUUUUUUUUUUUUUUUUUACUACCCGACCUUCCCCCGGAUCAGCAGCAGAAAAUGACAGUGAUGCAUUCAGACUCGAACAGCAAAAAAGAAAGAAAAGAAUCCUUUGCUUACAUUUGUAGGAAAGGCCUCGGCUUUCCUGAAAAUCUGUCUUUAGGAAGAAAGCAGAGCUGCGGAUCCAACACAGGAAGAUGCCUUCAUGAUCAUUUUACUGAGAAAUUGUCUUUGACAGCUUCACUGUGCCAUUGCUAUCAAGAAGGGGCCUGUAUAAUAGAUACCAGAAAAUUUUGAAAUUAGGGAAAAAUCACGUUAUGGAACAAAGAUCCAUACCAAAACUUGGAGACAGGAGAACCGAGUUUUCUGGUAGGAGGGGAGACUUUGUGCUACGGAGUAAAUGGAGCUGAGAACGUCCCACUGUGGGGAGCAAGUGGACCACCUGCUCUAUCUUCCCAGGCACAUCUUCCCUUUAUACGCUUGGAGACAGCCAGUGCCACAAGUCCAUGUUAGGAUUCUCGCUCCUCUCUUCCUGCCUGGGACAGCUCUCUCCACCCCCGGCACUGCACUACUCUCACCUCCAGGAGGCAUUCCCUGAGCUUUCUCUCUCCCAGAUGGACAACGAUCUCCAUGUACCUAGGACAAUAGCCAUUUAUAUAGUGCCUCAUCUGUGUGCCACCCUUAAUUUCCUGCGGGCAGGGUCUGCAUCUGAUGUGCUUCUCUUAUGGGUCUGCACCCUAAUUCAGGACUCUAAGCAUGCUCUUAACCAAUGUUUAGGGGAAAAGGAAGGUGGCAAGGGAGGGAGGGAUAAAAACAGGGAAUGAAUGAAAUAUUUCAGCUGCAGAGAGCUUAUAUCUAGGGCCCCAAUAUAAUAAUAACCUUUUACAUGUAUGCCAUUUUACUACUUAACAGUUUUUUUUACAUGUAUCUCUUUAUCAUCAUUCUGCUAUUGUAUGCGUGGGUGCACAGCGUGUGUGUGCACGUGUAUCUUUGUAGUGCAUGCGUGUAUCGCUUCUCUUUCUCUAUUCCCGUCUACACACACACACACACACACACACACACACACACACACACACAGGUGUUGCUUAGGCACACAAAUGUAAGCUCUGUGAAGGCAAGGACGUUGCUGUGUCCAUAUCUCUAUACCAGCUUCUUAAACAGUGCCUGAUGAGGGAAAGCUCAAUAAAUGUUUGUUAGAUGAAUGAAUGAGGAUAUGCCCUCAUUUGGUCUUUACCAUCACCUCCUGAAGUGAACACAAUAUCCAUAUUCUAUCCUACUCUUUGGCAGGUAGCAAACCUGAGUCCUCACCACCUGCUCGAGGUCGCAUGGCUCGUUCUUGGCCAAACCAAGCCUUGAACUCAGCUUUUCUGUUUCUCUAUUCCUUUCCUUCUGUCUUCUGGGAAUUUGCUAUAUUAAUAGCAAAGCGAGAAAUGUCACACAGGGAAAAUUUGUCUCCAAGUUUAAAUUCAUGAUGCGUACACAAGAAAUUACUGACUUCUCAAUCCAACGGUAACACAGAUUGUGUGAUUUUGAGGAGGAGAAGCCUUUCUUUCCCAUCGUCUUCCCUUUAUUAGCCUAUGUGUCAGUGCACACACAUGCGUGCCGUGCAGCCCUCGGCUUGUACUUUUCCAGCCUCCUGUUAAUUCCUUUCGUGGGCUCUUCCUGCCCUGACCAUCCCCAGUUCCUGUCAAGGCUGUUGCUUGGUCAGGCCAAGGCCAGGCGACACGCAGCAGGAUUUGUUAUGGUUACUUUGGCAAGUGCAGAGGGCUUGAGAGAAGCGGAACAGCAGGCAUUUCAGGAGUAGGACUAGGCUGGCUUGUUGUUUGUUAUAAACGUUUCUACUCACCCUAAUUGUAGCUCGCAGGGGCAAGCAGAGUAAACACCCAUACAAAUUACUAAGUGGUACUGAAUGUCCAAGGCUGUCAACAAUCGCCGUGAACUUCAGAUGAAAUCUCCUUCUUGACUGAGACCGGAGCCAGGCAGCACACGUGGUCUCCCCCUAUCACUGCCCAUCUUGUGUGGACACAGCAGCCAGAAAGGGGCUCCGUAAGGCCCUGGCACCGGGAAGGAACUGGAGACGAAUAGGGUGCUUGGCGCGAAUGUUGGGAGGUAGCUACAGUCACUGUUUAUCCUUAGGCUCCUCUCUGGUUUUUUCUAUCUUAAAACAGGAUGACUACAAGGGGGAAUAAGGAAUACAGUGAUAGAGGAUCCCGCAUGAAAGUUCAAGAGAAAACUGGCAUUCAUUUUUAUCUGAAGCCUGUGGGGGGAGGGAUGAGUCAGUGAAAAGGGUACGAAGGGGAUCUGAAGUCACACUUUGUCACAGGCUCUGGGACAAUGGCGGUGAGUAGCCCAGGAACUCCACAAGGUUUAUUCUCAUAUUCACUCAGAUCACAGUGAGGCGAAAGGGACGCCCGUACAGAUUUUCGAGGCGGCUUCCCUGUUUGACCAUGACUCCGGCUGUCGUGCAGAGACUUGGGCUUCUCCGCUUUAGUAGGACUCAUUUCUUUCCCUUUUCCUUUCUCAUAAAUGACUCAGGAGACUCUGUGGAAGAACCACGUGUGCUCUCUUCCCAGAAUUGUCACCGAGGAAGUGCAUGUCCUCUUAGCUUACCGGAUUCGCCCAUUGAGACGUGCCUCUACUUUGCUCUCACCUCCUGGAUGUGGUUUGCAGAGAUGGGCUGUUGGGAUUUCCCACCAGUCCACGACUCGAAGUUUCUAUUUCCACAUUUUGACUGCCAGUUCUAUAUUUGCGCAAAAUCCUGCUUUUUGCCUGGUUUCCUAGGGAAACAGUUUGUAAGAGCUACUGCUUUCUGUCCAUCUGCUUUGCCCGCCUGGGUUUUUGACUGUACACCCUGAUUAUUUCCUAAUGUGACAGAAAGACGCCAGGCCCAAAAUAAGGGGGACUUCCUCUAAAAUUGCUAAAAACGAGUUUUUGAAAUUAAAUGGUCAGUUAGGAAAUCACUCUCCUGUUGGCGGAGGGGAGGGCAGUUUGUGUUGUCCUUAUGUUCACAGACUAUUAUAAUAAGAAAGGAAGCGUAAGUGAACAGUGGGCGGGACGAGACAUCUUAUUCGAUAGAUGCAAAGAUAUUACACAUAAAAUAUAAACUAGACACAACGACGGCCCUGCGAGGACCUUCCAGCUGGAGGGAUCAGCUACGACAUAGUUAAAGUAACCCUGCACUGGAUGUCUGGGAACCUGAGUUGCUGUGUCAUUAUCAUCUCAGGCUCGAUCUCCCCAUCAAAAAGAGGACCUCAUUUUAUUUUUGGAAUGUGGACCCCUUGUACUGAGGAUCCUGCACAGAAAACCGUAUUUACAAAGUAAAUAAGCAUCCCUGUGCCAGUGUUUACACUCCAUGGCACAUGCACGUUGACCAACCAGAACUGUGUAGGGUGACAAGACCAGUGUCACUGUGCCGAGUUGAUAAUCUAGCAACAAGCAGUCUAAUCCCUGAGACCUGCUUGCAUACUUGGAGGCUUUUUAAGCUCCAUUCUACAAGAAUCAUGGACACACCAGGUGCCAGGGGCAGCAAGCGGAGAACCAUUAACCUAGAUGAGUUUCUGAAAUCUUUGCCAGGUUCUCAGUUGCUAAAUUCUGUCUUGAGCUUUUCUGGGGAGAGAAAGCGGGCCGCGAAGGAAGGAGAAGAAUGCUUUCUCACACUGUGAAACGCCUGUGCUCACCUCGCCCACGGGGUUGUGUCCGUGACCCUAAUGCCCGUGAGGUUCUUGCAUGUUCCUAAGAUACUCCUGCAGACCAGACGUCAGAGGUGAGCCAGGUCCUGCACCAUGGCUCAGGGUGAAGACCGUUGUGGAGAGCAGCCGUGCAGGUCUCCCUUUAGGACAUAGCCAUGCACCUAGGGCUGGAAAUGGAGCCCUCCGCAGAUAGAAUCUGUUGUUUCAUUUAAUUACUUUUCAAGAUGCCGUUACCAGAAAUUUUUAUGUAAAUACAUAUUUUAUUCCCCGAGGCAUGUUAAUAUGAGACAAAAAUUAUACAACACUGAAAGGAAAACAAAAUGGCCCUUUUUACGAAUUCUCUCUGUGUGUUCUUCGGCACAUGCUAUAGGAUAACAAAGGUGCUCACUUAGCCAAAACCACUUUCUUUGGCAUUCAGUUUGCAGAAUCACAGGAAUGCAGAAUUGAUACUCAAUAGCUUAACGCGAUUCAACUCAAUGAACAUUGACUGUUUGCCUUCUCUAGGGCAGGUCCUGAGCCCAUGCUAUACAAAGUACGGGCACCAUUAAUGAAACAGACACUUAAGAGUCCCUGUGAUGUGCUAAAAGCAUAUAACCACCCUACUGGCUAGACAGUAAUUGGUGCCUCGGAAGAGGUACUUAUUUAUUUAUCAAGUACUUAUAUUGCACUCAUUAUAUGUCAAGCACUGUUCCCUGUACCUCAUUAACCCAUAUCAUCCUCAGAACAGCCUUUUGGAAUGUGAACUCCGGUGUGUAUGCUCUUAACCACGAUGCUGUGCUCCGAGGGGCGAGAGGAGAAAGAAGUUACUUUGGGCUCAGUGGAUCAAGAAAUGAGGCAUCUGAACUAGGAUUUGAGGACAUAGCACAGGCCCUCCAGGGGAUGUCUGGGAAUGUGUGUGUCUUCACAAGAUCGAAAUGUGUGUGUCUUUUGUAAGAUCGAAAACAAAGCUCAGAAUAUGAGGAGCUUUGAAAGUCCAAGAGGGCCCUUCCACCUCAUCUAUUUUGUCUAAGUGGGGCCACCAGGCAAGUAUAGGUGUGAGACCAGCAUGGCAAGAACAUGCUUCAUAUCCACAGCCGCACUCCCCUCAAGGUCAAGAAGCCAGCUGAGAAAACCUGCUGUGCUGAGAGAAUGCCCUCAAUGCACUAACCCAAUUAAGCAAGAUGUACCAUUUCCCUAAGAAGUCUUCAUUUCUCUCUUGGUGGAGGAUGCUUCCCAAAUUCAAUCUGCCCGCCUUAGGACAAGCUUGUGACCCUUCAGAUGCAAGGAAUUCCGAGUUAUAUACAUUUUUCUCGCUCCCUCGGUGAAUCUCCUCUACUCUUAUAAAAAGAAUAACUUCUGGCGUACUUCUGGCCAGUCAGGGACGAGGCUUCUCUGAGAAGAGGAUGAGCAGGAAUACAGAGCCCGCUGUCGGAGCGCCCUUUGGCCGGGCAGGUGCUGAGGGAAGCCUCUCUACCCACCCCCCACCCCCGGAAUCAGUGCCAGCCACCCACAGAGCUGCAGCUCCUCUGCCUUCCACGUGCAACUUGUUUGAUCAACCGCCAAGACAAGCCCACUGCCCAGAGGCUGCACAGCUCUCUUUUUCAGAUGCUCCCUGAAUCUUGUGGAAAGACAUUUGAUUCCAGAGCCUGUGCUGAGUGCAGCCGCCAGUCCUGUCACCGAUGCUUACGAACUGUCUCAAUUUACCAACUGAUUUUCUUCUAAAGGUUUUUUACAGUUUCUGGCCUCCACCACCAUCACUCCCCUUUCCCCCACCCAGUUUGGCCUUUAUUUAGGCUGAUGUCAGGGGUAUUUUUUGGAACGUGAAUAGAUCCAAAGAUGCCUUUUUUUUUCUUUUUCUUUCCCUCUUGGAGUCAAAUGUUCACCUACUGAGAGCUUCAUUCUCCCUCCACCUUUGUGAAGACGGUGAUGUACAGGGUAUCACCAUAGCCUAGUAUACAGGAUUCCUGGCUCUGGAGUAGUAAUAGAUUGCCAGACAGUCCCAGACUGUCAGACUGGGCCAGACUGGGCCGAUCACCGUUCACUCCCCUGAGCUUGUUUCCCCAUUACCUAAAAUGGGGGUAUUAACUGUACCUGCCUCACAGUGCUUUGGGGAUUAUUACCUUCAAUAAUCUAUGUAAAAUACUCACCUGCACACAAGCGCCCACGCAAUAAAUGUAGCCAUUAUCACUACUGGUAACAACAUGAAGCUUUGAGGAUGAAUCAUGCCAGACAAACUACAUGGUUCUUCCUGACAAACAAAGUAUAUGGCUCUUCCUCCGUAUGAUUUUAUUUCACGUAGCCACAGGCCUAUCCCAAAGGCAGUAAUAACAAAGGGAAGGUGGAGAAAGUUCUAAGCUCCUUUAUCCUAAGCUGAGUGGCUCCAUGUUGUCCCUGACCCCCUCUCUUGUGAUUCUUACUGGAUAUCUUCGGGGAGACGUCCGACGGGUACCGUGGAUGCGGGGCGGAUGGACGAUUCCCCAGAGAAGUUAACUGAGUGUAUAACAUCCGUGUGUAAACUCACACUUGUUCUUGCUCCCUUUCCUCGCCAGAGCUAUCCGCGGAGCCUCCUAAUCACACCGAUUCCUGAGCUUCAGCUCCAGAGAUACUGAUUUUACGGUUCUUGGGCGGCGGCUGGGAGGAUGAGCAUUCUUUUUGAAGCUCCCCAAGUGAUUCUGAUGGGCGACCAGGCUUAAGAACCCAUGACUGAGAGGAUGGGCGGGCCCAGGGAGGAAAUGGAUAUGCUCUACAGCAACCAUGAGAAGGAUCGAUGGCAAACAGACCUAGCAAGUGUCUGCCUAGCGGAAGCUUUGCCUCUGCUCAGUCUCUUCUCAGUGUGGCAUUUGCAGGCAAUACAAAACAAAAAGAAAGGAGGGGGGCCUCAGCAUCAAGGAUGUGAAAGCUGCCUCUAAUCUUCAACUAGAUAAUAGGCAGGGGCCUCAAGACUGUAACCUGAGGAACAACAAAGGCAGCUGGCAUAUGUGGGCUGAGGUGAAAUACAUGUACUGAUGUGAGAGCCUCAGUGUUAGGCUCUCUGAAAGGAUGGAGAUUUUCUUAGCUUUGCUUCCUAUCAAAAUAAGAAAGACAUGUGGUGCUUUCUUAUGAGUCUUUAGAUUUCUGUGCUUGGGCACAACUUAUCUCUUUUCUCCAUGCUUUCUCAUUUCCAGUUUCCAAGUUAUGGGAGAUUAUCUAGUUCAGUUCCAGCCGUCUCAUUUUACAGAUGGCAAAACUGAGUGAUGCCUGACAUCUCACAGCACGACACGGGCAGAGAUCUUGUUCCCUCACGUGAUACACCACAGUCUAUUCGAUACUCAGUUCAAGGAUGGAAGAGAUGACUUUGGAGUCUCUCCAGCUUUCCUACUGGCUCUGAUUUCUCGACCAACGCCCUAACUAUUCCCAUGACACCCUGGCUAACCAGGUGUCUUAUUUUCAAAGAUGGCAAAAGUUUCUUUAUUUUGAAGACAUAGUUCUUACCUUAACUGCCCCAAGCACCGUGGCAGAAGGACCAUGACCUUGCUGAGAGCCACCGCAAGCCAAAUGAUUUACUUAAUUUUCCUUAAGUACUCAGAAGAAGAAAAACAAUAAUCUAUAUGAUGGACUUUUGGCCUGCACCCAUAUCCUUUAGGAAAAGAUGGAAUUUGGCAUAGCACAUACUCUGAUUUAAAGAAAAAUGUUUUGUUCUGAUGUAUUUUGUCUAAUUAAGAGUAAAAAAAAAUAAAAGGAUUGAAUUUUUCCUAUGCAAUGUCA